GGCCGCCUGGCGAAAUGGCAUCGCGUCUGACUACGACUGGCCAGUUCUAAUCAGGAGAUUGCAGGUUCGACCCCUGCGGUGGUCA
Non-coding RNA from Sphagnurus paluster, 85 nucleotides. Lineage: Eukaryota; Fungi; Basidiomycota; Agaricomycetes; Agaricales; Lyophyllaceae. The record is from the annotation of a GenBank genome assembly.